Molecule: transfer RNA, 85 nt
Filed under: Felis catus (domestic cat)
Lineage: Eukaryota; Metazoa; Chordata; Mammalia; Carnivora; Felidae
Rfam family: tRNA
About the family: Transfer RNA (tRNA) molecules are approximately 80 nucleotides in length.
Source: Rfam by way of RNAcentral
GCCCGGGUAGCUCAGUUGGUUAAGCGUCUGACUUUGGCUCAGAUCGUGAUCUCUCAGUCCAUGGGUUCAAGCCCUGUGUCAGGCU